Molecule: ribosomal RNA, 1853 nt
Filed under: human gut metagenome
Description: bacterial LSU rRNA
Rfam family: Bacterial large subunit ribosomal RNA
Source: RNAcentral
GGCAAAGGAUGUGCGUCCGCCCAGACAACCAGGAUGUUGGCUUAGAAGCAGCCAUGCAUUCAAAGAGUGCGUAACAGCUCACUGGUCGAGUGGGGGCGCGCCGACAAUGCGCGGGGCUCAAGCACGGCGCCGAAGCGGCGGAAUCAAGCAAUUGAUUGGUAGGGGAGCUUUCCAUGCCGGGCGAAGCCGGAGGCGCGAGCCCCGGUGGACGGCAUGGAAGUGAGGAUGCAGGCAUGAGUAGCGAGAGAGCGGCGAGAAACCGCUCCGCCGAAAACCCAAGGUUUCCUGGGCGAGGCUAAUCCCCCCAGGGUCAGCCGGGAGCUAAGGCGAGGCCGGAAGGCGCAGCCGAUGCACGACGGGCAGACAUUCCCGUGCCGGCGCGGGCGCGCUACGACCGAUGGGACGACGGGGAAGGAUACGCGAGCGGGGUUCUGGACGUCCCCGUGAAAGCGCGUAGGGAGGGGCCCAGGGAAAUCCGGUCCCCACACAUCCCGAGACGCGAGACGAGCCGCACGGCGAAGUCGCGGAUUCCAUGCCUCCUAGAAAAAUCCCUAGGCAGCGCCCACGCCGCCCGUACCAAAACCGACACAGGUGGGUAGGAAGAGCAUUCCGAGGCGAUCGGGGCAACCAUGGUCAAGGAACUCGGCAUAAUCGUCCCGUAACUUAGGGAGAAGGGACGCCCCCCAGCGUGUACCGGCUCGCCCGGGAAGCGCCGGGGGGCCGCAGCGAAAGGGCCCAAGCGACUGUUUACCAAAAACACAGGACUCUGCCAAGCCGCGAGGCGAAGUAUAGGGUCUGACGCCUGCCCGGUGCCGGAAGGUCACGGGGAUCCGUUAGCCUUUGGCGAAGCGGUGAACCCAAGCCCCGGUAAACGGCGGCCGUAACUAUAACGGUCCUAAGGUAGCGAAAUUCCUUGUCGGGUAAGUUCCGACCUGCACGAACGGCGCAACGACUUGGGCGCUGUCUCGACCAUGGGCCCGGCGAAAUUGCAUUAUCCGUGAAGAUGCGGAUUCCCCGCGGAAGGACGGAAAGACCCCGUGAACCUUUACUGCAGCUUGGCAUUGGCCGCAGGCGCGGCGCGUAGAGGAUAGGCAGGAGGCUGCGAAGCCCGGGCGCCAGCCCGGGCGGAGCCGACCUUGGAAUACUGCCCCCGUCGCGUCGGCGGCCUAACCCGGGGACGGCCCGGGGACCGUGCCAGGCGGGCAGUUUGACUGGGGCGGUCGCCUCCCAAAGAGUAACGGAGGCGCGCGCAAGGUCCGCUCAGGACGGUCGGCAACCGUCCGAAGAGCGCAAGAGCACAAGCGGGCCUGACUGCGAGGCAGACAAGCCGAGCAGGGACGAAAGUCGGCUCUAGUGAUCCGGCGGCCCCGAGUGGAAGGGCCGUCGCUCAACGGAUAAAAGGUACUCCGGGGAUAACAGGCUGAUCUUGCCCAAGAGUCCACAUCGACGGCAAGGUUUGGCACCUCGAUGUCGGCUCAUCGCAUCCUGGGGCUGGAGUCGGUCCCAAGGGUACGGCUGUUCGCCGUUUAAAGCGGUACGCGAGCUGGGUUCAGAACGUCGUGAGACAGUUCGGUCCCUAUCCUCCGUGGGCGCAGGAGAAUCGAUGGAGGCUGCCCCCAGUACGAGAGGACCGGGGUGGACGCACCUCCGGUGAACCGGUUGUCGACCAACGGCACGGCCGGGUAGCCGCGUGCGGCGCGGAUAACCGCUGAAGGCAUCUAAGCGGGAAGCCGUUCCAGGGAUUAGUUCUCCUUCCGGUAAGGGCCCAGGUAGACUACCUGGUCGAUAGACGGCAGGUGCAAGGCUGGCGACAGCCUCAGCCGAGCCGCACUAAUCGCCCGAGCUCUUCCGGA